This 1309-nucleotide long non-coding RNA is filed under the name Sus scrofa (pig). RNAcentral describes it as "lncRNA (ENSSSCG00050001027.1)". The record is from RNAcentral. Lineage: Eukaryota; Metazoa; Chordata; Mammalia; Artiodactyla; Suidae.
UUUUUCUUUUUGCCUUUUAGAGCUGCAGGGACAUAUGGAAGUUCCCAGGAAAGGGGUCAAAAUGGAGCGAUGGCUACUGACCUAUGUCACAGCCGCAGCAUGUGGGAUCUGAGCCAUGUCUGUGACCUACCCCACAGCUCAGAGCAAUGCUGGAUCCUUUAACCAACUGAGUGGGGCCGGGGAUGGAACCUGCAUCCUCAUGGAUACUAUCGGAUUCGUUUCUGCUGUGCCACAACGGGAACUCCCAACAGACCCCUUUUCCAAAUGACAACCCACACAACUCAGAAGUUAGCAAACUGCAAGCCCAAGGUUCAAGACAGAUGUUUCUAGGUCCAGAGUCCUGCCCAGCAUUGAAAACAAAGGACAGUCUGACCCCAGGAAUGUGUCAAACCCUCUGGCACUUGGGCCACCCAAGGAGACUAGAGAGGCUCAUCAGACUUGAAGGAAUAGGUGUGUCCUGUGCCUGAGGUGAGGCAGUUGGUGGGGGGUUGGGGGAGUCAGAGUUGCUUGUAAAUGAGUUCACAACUCUGGGCAAAUCCAGGUAGUUCCAUCAACCCAUCUUCAACCCAGGAUCUGAGCCUGGAGGUGUGUCCAGGGAGGGGCAUGUGGGAUCUGCACCUUCUUACACGAUGAAGUGAACAAGCAAAGCCCUUUGAGAGGUGGGUGUUUCUCUCUCCAAGCAAAAAACUAAAAUGACACACACUCCUCCCUAUAUCCCACACCAGACGCAGUAAAGGAGGUGAACCUAAGCCAAACAGGUAACCAGACUUAAAUGAAACAGCAUCCCGCUCUUCAUUUCUGUGUCUUGGCUUGAGGUAAGAAUUUUCAUUAGGGGUGAAAGGGAGGAGGGGAGAGGCUCAGAUGGAAGGAAAAGAAGAUGUUUUUCAGAGAACCCUCAAGAGACAAGGCAAGGGUUGGAAGCAAAGUGAUUACCAAGGAACCGCUGUUUUUGCACUCCCCAUUCACGACCACCUGCCAAGAUGCCCAAAUGCCAAAAAAAAAACAGUGCAAACUGGAUCCAGGAACUCUGCAAGGCCAAUAUUCAACGCAGUGCUUUUUGGGCUUGUUUGUCGGCCUCUGCAGAAUCUGAAGGCCAUCAGAAUUCUUUUUUUGUGUGUCUUUUUUUGGGGAGGGGAGCUUCACCCACUGCAUAUGGAAGUUCCCAUGCUGUGUCCAAUUGGAGCUGUAGCCACCGGCCUACACCACAGCCACAGCAACACAUGAUUUGAGCCACAGCUCAUGGCAAAGCUGGAUCCUUAACCCAAUGAGGGAGGCCAGUGAUCAAAUCAGUGUCCUCAUGGAUGCUAAC